Long non-coding RNA from Ipomoea nil (Japanese morning glory), 122 nucleotides. RefSeq lists it as uncharacterized. NCBI's taxonomy places the organism in Eukaryota, Viridiplantae, Streptophyta, Magnoliopsida, Solanales, Convolvulaceae. The record is from RefSeq and is a predicted model, not a curated record. The transcript is spliced from 3 exons.
GUCUGAGUGGUGGAAGCCGUGGUGAACUGGUGAUUAGAAGCCCUUGUUCUCCGAGGAUUAUUUGGGAGAAAUCAAGUAAUUCGUAAACCCUAUUUUAUAUAUCUUGAUUUAUGUAAUUUAUU